This is a small nucleolar RNA of Heteronotia binoei (common prickly gecko), 124 nucleotides long. RefSeq annotates it as U8 small nucleolar RNA. The record is from RefSeq and is a predicted model, not a curated record. Lineage: Eukaryota; Metazoa; Chordata; Lepidosauria; Squamata; Gekkonidae. The transcript has a single exon.
UCAUCAGUGAGAUAUAUCCUUACCUGUUCAUCUUCUGGGAGAACAGCACAUGAUGAAUGUUGUUGGCACAUGAGAUGAGAUGAGAUGCCACAGCCCAGCAACAUCUGGCUAGCUGUUUUCUGUG